Cornus florida is the source of this 2216-nucleotide long non-coding RNA. RefSeq lists it as uncharacterized. The record is from RefSeq and is a predicted model, not a curated record. Lineage: Eukaryota; Viridiplantae; Streptophyta; Magnoliopsida; Cornales; Cornaceae. The transcript is spliced from 2 exons.
GUGCAAGAGCACCUAGUGAGUGGAGAAGCCCACCAAUUUAGCUUAGGGUUUACACAUUUUAAUUCAUUCAUCACUUUCCUCUCAAGAACCCUAAGGAAGCCACCAUUGGAGAAAAGCUUGACUAGUAGCUUUGACUUCAUUUUUGGUGCCCUUUCACUCACCCUAGAACUUUGAACUUGGAAUACUUUUUGUUCCCCUCAUCUUCCUCUUCAAAACCCUUGAAGGAUCUAGCCUAACUCCUAGUUUUGCUUUGGUGUCUAGAGGUUCAAUUUUCUAGUGAGUUGAAGGUAGCAAGCUGAAAAAUCUGUUUUGCGGACCGAAAAUUUGGGGCAAUUCAUUUCGGUGGUAAUUGGGAUUUUCAUUCCAAUUGAGGCAGGGGAUAUUUUAGGAUUAUUUGUGUAUUGUAUUGUGUGUUUGCCAUGAUUAUACAACAUAUAUGUAUGCCUUGUAUCAAAUCUAAAAAGUUAGUAAUUUUUAUUUCUUUGUAUAAGAUUUAAAGUUUAUGAUAAUGUAUAACUUUGAUUUGAAUUGUAACAUGCUAGGAAAUUAUGCUUAGAUGUAUUGGUUAACAUAUAUUACAUUUGGAUCAUUUGAUUAAGAAUUACAACUUUUAUUUAAUAUUUAUCUUUAGUGAAAGUUUAAUUCACAUGGUUGUAUCAAGCAUUAAAUCAAGUUGUAAUGUGGUAUUUAAAUAGGUCUUGGCAUGUUCUCUAACAUAGAUUAAAUUCAGGGCAUUUGGAAUUGUUUAAAAAUCUAGAGGAAAUUAAUUAAUUAGCUUGAUUAAUUUUGUUUUAAGUAUUUUAAUCACUUAACUUGUCAUUUGAUAUUAUAAAUAUAAUGACCAUGACAUGUCUUUCAAUAUAUAUUAAAUUGAGGUUAUUUGGAUUAACUUGGAAUUUAGAGAAUUUAACUAUUUAUGUUUAAUUAAAUUCUACUUUAUUACUCCAUGGAUUUAAUUGCAUUUUGGAAGUUAUUUCUAUAUUUAAAUCAUAGAUUUGGAUUUGAUGUAUGUUCACUUGAUUACUUUUGAGUAUUGGAUAACAUAGUUGUUACUUUUCUAUUCAUGAGAAUAUGUUUUUAUUUAUUGAAUAUAUUGUUGCUAUGUGUAAGGAAUUGCACACUUUGUAUUUGACAUCUUACAUGCAAUUGUAGUUGUGAAUUUUGAGUAUGUAUUGUAUAAGUUUCCAAAAUUUGGAUUGUGCUUGGUAAAUAGUUGAUAUCUUGUAUAUACAUGUUGAUAUAUAUACGUUGUUGCACAAUUUGUUGAUUUUGGAAACUUGGGGAUAUCGUUGUUUGGCUACCGCUAGGACUUGGUUCUAGUACGGGGGAUUGUCCCUCUAUAUAGUCUAGUACGCACAUAGGGAGAUUACCCAUGGGCUAGUAACCCUAAAGUAACUAUGUUGUCGGUCUGAUCCGGCGUGGCGUCCGAAUAUCCAUUUUAUUUGAUUUCGUAUUUCAUUUCAAGUUGAUAACUAGAUGAUAUCGUAACUUGUUGUUCCUUAUUUGAUUUCCUAUUUUGCGCUUAAGAUGUAACUUUGUGAAAGCAUGCUUCAUGCGUUGUAUUGGAAGUUCCAUUGUUAGUUAAAUUACAUCGAUAUCAUAAUUUAUGUUUUGAUGUUCAAAUGUAGUUUAUGAAUGACCUUAUAGAUUCAUUUUGAACAUAGACGUUAGAUGGCAUGACCCACACUUGUUGUUUUCGUAAUUUUGGAUUUUAAGUUGAAGACUUUGAGAAUCUAUAUCUUGUUGCCUUGUAUAACAUGUUUCCAUGUUGUUUGAAUUGCAUGAACAAUGUGAUAUGAUAGAAAUGAUCUAGGUAGCUUAGGAUGCUCCCUGGGUCUCAUCUUGAUAUAGACGUUAGGUGGCAUGAGCCCCUUUAACAUGUUUCAUCAUAAGGUGAUAAAAUUGUAAAAUUUUAGGUCGAUGCAUGCUCAUCUCCUACGAGUAGCUUUAUGUUACUCACCCCUACGAUACUGGGGCAUAUUUCAGGUAUAGGACUCAGGAUUUGAAGAUUCCAUUGCUCCUUGGAUGGCUUACAAUUUCUAUGUUUUUAUUUUAUGCAAGUGUUAGCAUAAGAUGCAUCUUUGUAGCCCUAUUUGUUUAAACUUGUAUUCGUUGAUUCGUAUAUGUAAAGUGUACGUAAGUGCACUCUUUUCAAUGUAUUUAACAUGUAUGAGAUGAGGCCGGAGGUCAAUGACAUGUAUCUCGUUUUCUAUGCA